This 1116-nucleotide long non-coding RNA is filed under the name Homo sapiens (human). The record is from RNAcentral. Lineage: Eukaryota; Metazoa; Chordata; Mammalia; Primates; Hominidae.
GGCCCCGCCCCCGCCCCUGCCCCGGGGCAGCCUGUGCUGUUCCGUGUGCGCGGCGCAUACGCACCUGGGUUGUCUCGAGCCUGCGGUAGUGGCCAGAUCCCAGACAUCCGAGUAGAUCCCGUGAAAAGGUCUCCCACGUGGGCUGUGGACAGGGCCCAAGGGUAGCAGAGCUAGCAGAGGCAGUGACGGACUGUGUGGCAGGUCAUUUGCAAGGAGAAAAGCCGUCUGCCUCUUAAUUUGUGGCUCAAGUUUCAGAAUUUUUUUCCUGAGGGACUUUAGAAAUUACUUCAGGCUUGCCACCUAACCUUAAACCACCCCCUUGGAGACUGGCUAAGUGUUAUUUGUGUUUUCUGUUUAGUUCUUAUCACCAUCGAUACUUGGUUAUGACUGGUUGUGUACAUUGGUUAGCCCAGCAAGUAUUACUUCUCCAGCUUAACAGAUGUGGAAACUUAAGCCCAGAGACAUGAGUUGACACCCCACCCCCAAAGCUAGAGUCUAAAACCCUUUCUUUCGCUCCUCAUCUCCCACAGGAUAAAAUGCAAAUUAAUCAGACUAGUGGUGAGGCCCUCCGUGGUGUGACUAACCUGCAUCCCGACGUUUUCACCCUACUUUGAUCCAGAAAGCACCUUUCCGCCCCAUCUCUUCUCCUUUCCUUAAAUACCCCUUACAACUUCCUGUACCAUUCUUCCCUGUUCAGCUUCUUCUUGGUUUCUUCGUACAUUCUGGAUCCACCCCUUUCAUGCAUAUUCCAGACCACAUUUCCACUGGAGCAGUUGAAAUGAGAGAGAUGGGAAUGGGACUCACCCGAACCAGAGGAAUUUUUAUUACAGACCCAUUAACAGAGGUGUCAAAGUCACAGGAACAAGGAUGUGCACCUCAGAAACACAGAGGUCAGUGGAAAAUCAGUUUGCUUCUAUUUGUUUAAAAAAUGGGGGACUUAUGCAUAAAUCUAAGACCUUCUUGAAUCUAACAUUCUAAGACCUGUAUGCCACAGAAAGGAGGGUCUCAGAACGCCGGAGGAUAGUAUUUAAAUCUUAAAUAUCUAUAUUGUUCUCCACAGUUACUGGGUCACCACAUAGCAGGCAUUCAAUAAAAACGUGUUUGUUUACUAAGUAA